CUUUAGACGCCCAUGCUCAAACUCCCUAAUUGCAAGCGUAGCAACAACCUCAGGAAACCUCACCUCAGCACCCCGGGGUCGUAAGAUUCAACAGACUGCUUAGCAAGCAGCUUACAAGCCUGCUCAUACAUCAAGGCAUUGUGAAUUCCAAGGCCACAGAAGAUUGCAAAUGCCUGUUGGAAGCUCCUGGGUGAAGAUCAAAGGCCUUGGAAAAUAUGGUCGCUUGCUAUUAAACAGUUUCGCAAGACUCGUCCCUGAGGAAAACCAUACAUCUUUCAACAUCAAGUAAUUGUUGUACCUCAACCAUAAUGUUAUGGACACAUGUAUCUAGGUUACUCUGCUCUUCAAAUAUUCCACGUGCAAGUUGAAGAAGGAUCUACAAUUCAGUCGGUACACCACAUGGCAAACCCAGAUCACAAUUUGGUUAUAUAACAGUAUUGUGCAAUUAAAGUAAUGUGAGUGAAAAUCGGCAAUAUCUGUCAAUUCAGGGCUUUAAAAAAAAAAUGACUAAUUUUAGUCCACCAA
Pocillopora verrucosa is the source of this 525-nucleotide long non-coding RNA. RefSeq lists it as uncharacterized. The record is from RefSeq and is a predicted model, not a curated record. NCBI's taxonomy places the organism in Eukaryota, Metazoa, Cnidaria, Anthozoa, Scleractinia, Pocilloporidae.